This 500-nucleotide ribosomal RNA is filed under the name uncultured bacterium. RNAcentral's name for it is "bacterial SSU rRNA". It matches the Rfam family "Bacterial small subunit ribosomal RNA", at positions 28 to 544 of the family's 1533-position model. The record is from RNAcentral.
GAUGAACGCUGGCGGCAUGCCUAACACAUGCAAGUCGAACGGAAAAUCUGGUUUCGAUCAGGUUUUGAGUGGCGCACGGGUGAGUGACACGUAACUGAUCUGCCCCGAAGAGCGGGAUAACGCACCGAAAGGUGUGCUAAUACCGCAUAAGCUCACGGCGAUUAGAAGGCUGUGAGAAAAGGCUCCGGCGCUUCGGGAUGAGGUUGCGGCCCAUCAGCUAGUUGGUGAGGUAAAAGCUUACCAAGGCGACGACGGGUAGGGGGCCUGAGAGGGUGACCCCCCACACUGGGACUGAGACACGGCCCAGACUCCUACGGGAGGCAGCAGUGAGGAAUAUUGCUCAAUGGGCGCAAGCCUGAAGCAGCGAUGCCGCGUGGGUGACGAAGGCUUUCGGGUCGUAAAGCCCUUUUCUCGGUGAAGAGGAAGGACGGUAACCGAGGAAUAAGUGUCGGCUAACUACGUGCCAGCAGCCGCGGUAAAACGUAGGGGGCGAGCGUUAU